Molecule: long non-coding RNA, 1203 nt
Organism: Neofelis nebulosa (Clouded leopard)
Lineage: Eukaryota; Metazoa; Chordata; Mammalia; Carnivora; Felidae
Exons: 2
Source: RefSeq, a predicted model, not a curated record
CUGUGUCUUUCCCUAGGUUGGAGUUUGACAUAUAAUCAGCGCCUAGUAAUUGCUAAGGGAGUGGCAUCUUUCAUGGUCAGAGUGGAUUUUGCUUUUUCUGAGAGCCAUCUGCCCCGUACCUUCCUGGCUGUGCCCUCAGAGGCUGUGUCUUCCCAAACAAGAACGAGGCUGGCCUCCUGACCCCGAACUACCCCACUGGGCCACUGCCCCGACCUCUAUACACUUCUUUCUUUACUGCCAACGGGCCGUGCCCUGGUUAUCCGUGUUCUCCUCUUCCAGAACAUCCUUCCCGACCACUCACUGGCUUCCCAAAUGUCGGUGUAACUGGGGGAUGGACUGUCUGGUGCCCAUACUUCCCCUGUCCUCCCUCUGUCCCAAAGCCCGGAAACACAGGACCCCUGAGAACUGCGUCGACCCUUCGGUGGCCACGCUUCUCCCUCUUCCUUUCUCUCCCUCCUUGGUGUUUUUUGAGCAUCUACUCUGUGCCCCGGUGGGGGUCCCGGAGACACACCCGAUGUCAGUGCCUCUCCCCUGCAAAUUUAGCACCCCACUGUUACGUUCUCGGGGGACCCUGCUCUCAUUCCCACCCAGAUAGAUACCUACAGAGAGACGCCUGGUGGGGGAUCUGAGGACCCCGGCUCUAGCUAGAGUCCUGGUUUAGUUGUGUUUGGCUGCGUGACCCAGGCGAGCCACCUGCCUUCUCUCAGCCUCAGGAUCCGUCUCUCCCAAAUGGAUGUUUUGUCGUAAACAGUCUCUAAGGUUUCUUCUGCUUGUUCAGGGCUCAGCGAGCUUGCCUGGUACACGCAGCGGAACCCAGCCCAGUUUACACGCACGUCGCCUCGGCAAACGGGAAACAAAGGCGUGGUGCGGAGAGCUGGCGCUACGGAGAGGUGACACCAAGGACAGCAGGGGGACUGCUUAAUUUGUCAUCUUUGCAUAUCUCCAUGGCGUUGAGCGCCAGCUGGGAACAGAAGUCCUAAAAUACCCAAGCGAGGCCAUCUCUGCAGAAGGAGAGACUCUCGACGGACCCAGCAAGACUCUCUCUCUCCUCCAAUUUAUGCAUCCUCAAAAAACUUUUAAGUGGAUUGGUUGAAAUCUUGUUUUCCCCCUAGUGUUCCUGUCUCUCAGUUCUCCCCUUUUAUACUCCAUGGUAUGUGUGAUUUCCAGAAAAAACAAAUCCCAAAUACAAUUAGUAGCUAGGAA